Astyanax mexicanus (Mexican tetra) is the source of this 2067-nucleotide long non-coding RNA. RefSeq lists it as uncharacterized. Lineage: Eukaryota; Metazoa; Chordata; Actinopteri; Characiformes; Acestrorhamphidae. The transcript has 3 exons. The record is from RefSeq and is a predicted model, not a curated record.
UACACGCACAACCCGGAGAAACUCACACACUUUAUACUUCAGAACGCGGGUCUGAAAUUUGAGAAAUAACGCCCUAAACGAGUCAUAGAAGAAACUUUAAGGAAAGAUUAUUAUUGUUUUCCACAAUUAAUGACGGAUUAAUUAACGCAGCAGUUUUGUUUGUGUCGAAAGUGCUGGAACUUUUUUCAGUAUAAAAUCAGUCCUCGGACUGAGCGGAAUAGUUAGAAAAUAGGCGCGGGUUGGUCUGUGGGAGGCGCCGGUAACCAAGAUGGUGGGAGAGGAGGAACCCUCCGUCAGCCCCAGACCCUCACAGCUUCACACCCCUAACUCACUGCUGCAGCACUGCUCCAUCACAGUGCACCGUUACAGGGUGCAACAGUAGUAUGGUGGUCUUGAGUCUCUGCACUGGGCAUUCUCAGUCCCUCCCCUCGUCCAUCACAGUCAGUCCAGUGCUUUGCUGACUCAGGAGUGCUAAAUACCACUGUGAACAGGGGAAUGGUCCCUUCCUGCCAUUGGUCUGAAAGGGGAGGAGGGUGCGCUGGUUGCCUCUGCCCUCAGCGACGACUAAGCGCUGAGUUUUGGUUGUAUGGAUGAUCUCCUGACUCCUGUUCCUUGGCUUCUCUUCGCGUCGUGUCAGCAGACAACGUCAGGCUGAUUAGGCCCUAAGGGUCAGAGGAAAGAGGAUCACACACUUUUAUUUGCUACUCUGGAUUAAUGCUGCCUAUGUGUGAUGGCCUACAUGUGCUGUUAGAUGCAGUAGAGUGGCGAUUUCCAAAAGCAAAGUGGUGUCACUGCUCUGUUGUCAGGUUUACAUUUCACUAUUUUAGCCCUUGUUAGAUAAGAUAAGAUACUUUUUUUAUUGUCAUUGCACAGUGUACAACGAAAUUUAGCAAUGUUAGCAAUGUUAGACCUUGUUAAAAGGUUCCAGGUGUAAAUGCGAAGCAGGGCUGUUAAAUUUAGUGUUUGGAGAACAAUUCUCUCAUACUGGCCAUUGGAUAUUCAACAUGACACUUCAUGGAGAAGAACUUUAAGGAUGUGAGAAAUAAAAUGGUUGCUCUGCACAAAGAUGCCCUAGGCCAAGGGUGUCCAAUCUACGGCCCGCGGGCCAUUUGCGGCUCAUUUCCUUUUUUGAAGUGGCCCGCAAGGUAUUUUAGAAAUAAAAUGAAAGUCCCGCAGGUUUUUAUAAUGUGAGGUUCAAAGUUUAAACGGCAGGUGUCAGAAAGUGGAUAGAAUGCGCAGUUGUAGUGGGGAAAACAUAUCAAAAAGUCUAUAUGUGGCGAGAACGCACAGUUGUCGUGCUGAAAACAGGCCAAAGAGUCUAAAAGUGGCGAGAGGGUUCAGUUGUAACGUGGGAAACGGGCCAAAGAGUCUAAAAGCAGCGAGAGGGCUCAGUUGUAGCGUGGGAAACGGGCCAAAGAGUCUAAAAGCAGCGAGAGGGCUCAGUUGUAGUGCAGAAAAAAGGCCAAAGAGUCUAAUGACUCCAAAGAAACGAAAAAUGGACAGCAAAUGCAGAACAUUUCAGGCAUGUUGGGAAAAUGACUAUUUUUUUAACUGAGUUAAGAAAGAAAUGUGUAUGUUUAAUUAGUCAGGAAUCAGUUGCCUAAUUAGGAGUAUAAUAUUAGGAGACAUUAUGAAACAAAACAUCAAUUUGAAAAUCUAAUUUAAACAACACUGUCAAAGAUAGAUAGUAUAGAAAAAUAGAAAGAUAGUAACUCAAGUAAAACAGUGUGUAAAUGGUAGUAAUCAAGAACAUGCAUUAUUAUAAGUAGUAUAUUUUAUUAUUUGUUUUAUUACAGAGUCUGUGGCCCGUGACUGCACAUAUAUUUCUCCUUCUGGCCCCCAACAAAAAAGGUUUGGACACCCCUGACCUAGGCUAAAAGAAAAGUUGAAACUGAGCCACAGCAAAGUGGCCAAAGUCAUACAGCAGUUUUCCAGGAUGGGUUUUAUUUGGAACAGGCUUUGCCAGAAAGUGAUUUUAUAUCUGUAUGUAUUAUGAUUGUUUUGCAGUAAUGUAUUACAAUUGUUUUUUUUUUUUUGUUUUAUUAAAAGUUGUACUAUCAUUAUCAA